RNAcentral lists this transfer RNA (65 nucleotides) under Taenia solium (pork tapeworm). Its description in RNAcentral is "tRNA-Gln". Lineage: Eukaryota; Metazoa; Platyhelminthes; Cestoda; Cyclophyllidea; Taeniidae. The record is from RNAcentral.
UUUAAUGCGGUGUUAUUUGUGCAUUUUACACUUUGACUGUAAGGGUGAUUAGUAAUCCGUUAAAU